This 468-nucleotide ribosomal RNA is filed under the name uncultured bacterium. RNAcentral's name for it is "partial 16S ribosomal RNA". It matches the Rfam family "Bacterial small subunit ribosomal RNA", at positions 28 to 507 of the family's 1533-position model. The record is from RNAcentral.
GACGAACGCUGGCGGCGUGCUUAACACAUGCAAGUCGAACGGAAAGGCCCUGCUUUUGUGGGGUGCUCGAGUGGCGAACGGGUGAGUAACACGUGAGUAACCUGCCCUUGACUUUGGGAUAACUUCAGGAAACUGGGGCUAAUACCGGAUAGGAGCUCCUGCUGCAUGGUGGGGGUUGGAAAGUUUCGGCGGUUGGGGAUGGACUCGCGGCUUAUCAGCUUGUUGGUGGGGUAGUGGCUUACCAAGGCUUUGACGGGUAGCCGGCCUGGGAGGGUGACCGGGCACAUGGGGACUGAGGUACGGCCCAGACGGCUACGGGAGGCAGCAGUGGGGAACAUGGCACAAUGGGCGGAAGCCUGAUGCAGCAACGCCGCGUGCGGGAUGACGGCCUUCGGGUUGUAAACCGCUGUCGCCGGUGACGAAGCGUGAGUGACGGUAAUGGGUAAAGAAGCACCGGCUAACUACGUG